RNAcentral lists this ribosomal RNA (434 nucleotides) under uncultured bacterium. RNAcentral describes it as "bacterial SSU rRNA". It matches the Rfam family "Bacterial small subunit ribosomal RNA", at positions 29 to 508 of the family's 1533-position model. The record is from RNAcentral.
AGCGAACGCUGGCGGCAGGCCUAAUACAUGCAAGUCGAACGGAUCCUUCGGGAUUAGUGGCGGACGGGUGAGUAACACGUGGGAACGUGCCCUUUGGUUCGGAACAACUCAGGGAAACUUGAGCUAAUACCGGAUGUGCCCUUCGGGGAAAAGAUUUAUCGCCAUUGGAGCGGCCCGCGUCUGAUUAGCUAGUUGGUGGGGUAAAGGCCUACCAAGGCUACGAUCAGUAGCUGGUCUGAGAGGAUGAUCAGCCACACUGGGACUGAGACACGGCCCAGACUCCUACGGGAGGCAGCAGUAGGGAAUCUUGCGCAAUGGGCGAAAGCCUGACGCAGCCAUGCCGCGUGAAUGAUGAAGGUCUUAGGAUUGUAAAAUUCUUUCAGCGGGGACGAUAAUGACGGUACCCGCAGAAGAAGCCCCGGCUAACUUCGUGC